Molecule: ribosomal RNA, 274 nt
Filed under: uncultured bacterium
Lineage: Bacteria
Description: partial 16S ribosomal RNA
Rfam family: Bacterial small subunit ribosomal RNA
Source: RNAcentral
CUACUGAGGGUGCAAGCGUUAAUCGGAAUUACUGGGCGUAAAGCGCACGUAGGCGGUUUAUUAAGUCAGAUGUGAAAGCCCUGGGCUUAACCUGGGAACUGCAUUUGAGACUGGUAGGCUAGAGUACGGUAGAGGAUAGUGGAAUUCCGGGUGUAGCGGUGAAAUGCGUAGAUAUCCGGAGGAACAUCAGUGGCGAAGGCGGCUAUCUGGACCAAUACUGACGCUGAGGUGCGAAAGCGUGGGGAGCAAACAGGAUUAGAUACCCUAGUAGUCC